UGUGAAAAUGUUGAAAAUCAGCUUUAUGAUGAAGUCAUUAAGACAUGACCUUUAAUGGAUGUCCAUAUGUUUUAUUGGCUUAUCAAAAAUUAUGUCCACCCAUAAUGCAUGCAGGAAGGUGGCCAAAGUCAGAAUACUUCAGUCAUCUCAGAAUGUCCUGUUUUUAUUCAAGUUUUUAAAAGUAGAAGAAAGAGUAAUUCAGUGUGUCAAAAGUUGAAUGUCUCUUCUUUCUUGUUUUGAUGCCAACAUAUUCAUCAGCCAAAUGUUUGAAGUUGAGGUGUGAUCUACAUUGUAAUGGAUCACUGGCUCUGAGGACUUAGGAUGAACGCUGGCAAAACCAACGGACAAUUUCUGAGUGGGUUGUGACCAACAAAGAAUUUGAGGAACACAAACAAAUGGAAGCACACGUCUGUUAAGAAACAGGAACAGUCACUCCAGUUAAUCUUUAAUUAACUUAUGGCUUUAAAAGAUCUUGACUGAGUACUUACUAGAACAAUACCUAAAGGAGCUAAUGUCUCUGGUCCCAGAAAAUUCAAAGUGAUGGUAAAGAAAAAUUAUUGUUAGUGCAGAGGUUUACGUGACAGAUGGAAAAUAUUUCCCUAAUAUAGGUAGACUAGCAGAUUUAAGUUGAGUCAUGCAGCAACAUAUUUGAAGUCUGCUUUCCUAUUGUAUUACACUCAUUUCCCCUAAAAUAGAACAAUAAUGAUAGUUUCUUUGGACCUAUGGAAAGUAUGUACUUCUUCUAGAUUAUUCAGAAGGAGGUGAUAUGGUUUCUGGGGUAAUGCCACCUUGAAUAUUUAUCAAGCUUUAGAGUUUACAGAUUACCUUAAAAAUUUCUAUGGAAAUAUUGUUGUGUAGGAUAUCAUAAUGCCACUGAACUCUGAGGGAAUAUGUAUUCUUUUGGAUUGAAGUCUAGCAUAAUUAACAAUAGCGCUUUUAGACUGAAGAAAAGUUAUUUUCUGACUUGUGCAGCAUGGAUACUGCAAGAAACCCACAUCACAUAGGUCUGUAAACUUUCUGAAAGUUGGCAACAAAUUUGCCUUGAGCUUUCAAGUAGCCAAAGUUAUAAAAAGAAGAAAUCAGAUGAAACAUUUACAAUGUCCGUAAAAUAUAAUCAUGAUAAUUUCUUGAGAAAAGUAGCUUUUUUUUUUUCCACUGAGAGCCAUGGGGGAAAUUUCCCAAUGUUUUUAAGCAGGAGGUGUAUUUUUCUAUAGUAAAUGUGAAAGUGGUCUUUAUAGUAUAACCUGGAUGUCACCAGUUUGUGAAUGUAAACAAGUAUUCAAUUGCCCUUUAAUCAGAAUUUUGCUAGAUUGAUAGCCUCAUCCAUGUAACCACAUAAAUUCAGUUCCCCUUUCAAAAUCUCUUUUGAGGAAUAUUCCUGGAUUCAUCUCAAUUCUAAAAAUAUAUUUUCUUUGCCAUAAUAUUAUUUUUACAAAAACAAAUCUAGU
This 1448-nucleotide long non-coding RNA is filed under the name Pan paniscus (pygmy chimpanzee). RNAcentral's name for it is "lncRNA (ENSPPAG00000045019.1)". Lineage: Eukaryota; Metazoa; Chordata; Mammalia; Primates; Hominidae. The record is from RNAcentral.